This 960-nucleotide ribosomal RNA is filed under the name Microtrichalus sp. BM0102. RNAcentral's name for it is "SSU rRNA". It matches the Rfam family "Eukaryotic small subunit ribosomal RNA", at positions 430 to 1344 of the family's 1831-position model. The record is from RNAcentral. Lineage: Eukaryota; Metazoa; Arthropoda; Insecta; Coleoptera; Lycidae.
AGGCGCGCAAAUUACCCACUCCCGGCACGGGGAGGUAGUGACGAAAAAUAACGAUACGGGACUCAUCCGAGGCCCCGUAAUCGGAAUGAGAACAAUUUAAAUCCUUUAACGAGGAUCAAUUGGAGGGCAAGUCUGGUGCCAGCAGCCGCGGUAAUUCCAGCUCCAAUAGCGUAUAUUAAAGUUGUUGCGGUUAAAAAGCUCGUAGUCGAAUCUGUGUCCCGCGCCGCCGGUUCGUCGCUCGCGGCGUUUAACUGGCGUGUCCGCGGGACGUCCUGCCGGUGGGCUUAGCCUUUUCAUUAAGGCGGCCCAAUCUUAAUCCCGCCGCGGUGCUCUUCACCGAGUGUCGAGGCGGGCCGGCACGUUUACUUUGAACAAAUUAGAGUGCUUAAAGCAGGCUAAAACUUCGCCUGAAUACUUCGUGCAUGGAAUAAUGGAAUAGGACCUCGGUUCUAUUUUGUUGGUUUUCGGAACCCCGAGGUAAUGAUUAAUAGGAACGGAUGGGGGCAUUCGUAUUGCGACGUUAGAGGUGAAAUUCUUGGAUCGUCGCAAGACGGACAGAAGCGAAAGCAUUUGCCAAAAACGUUUUCAUUGAUCAAGAACGAAAGUUAGAGGUUCGAAGGCGAUCAGAUACCGCCCUAGUUCUAACCAUAAACNAUGCCAGCUAGCGAUCCGCCGANGUUNCUNCNAUGACUCGGCGGGCAGCUUCCGGGAAACCAAAGCUUUNGGGUUCCGGGGGAAGUAUGGUUGCAAAGCUGAAACUUAAAGGAAUUGACGGAAGGGCACCACCAGGAGUGGAGCCUGCGGCUUAAUUUGACUCAACACGGGAAACCUCACCAGGCCCGGACACCGGAAGGAUUGACAGAUUGAGAGCUCUUUCUUGAUUCGGUGGGUGGUGGUGCAUGGCCGUUCUUAGUUGGUGGAGCGAUUUGUCUGGUUAAUUCCGAUAACGAACGAGACUCA